AUUUCUACUAUCUGAUAAUAAGGAAAAGUUCAUGAUCUCUUAAUUUCUAUUGCAAAAAUGAUGAGAGGUGGCUGGUUGUUCUCCCUAAAGGUAUUCUCAUUUAAGUAAAGGAGCGGACUGUGGUGAAGUUUGCUUCUGGAACAUGAGGAGGAAUUACGAGAAGAUGUUGGGGCUAUCUUUUCAUACUCACCAAUCACUCUACUUGGACCAACUUCAAGGGCUGAAAAGCUUUGUUUACGAUCCUGGUUCUAAUGACACCAAAUUAUCUAUAAAGUUUGGUAGCCACUAAACGUGGUUUUUGAGCACUUGAAAUGUGGCUAGUCCAAAUUAAGAAGUAAGUAUAAUAUACACAUUGAGUUUUGAAGAUGUAGAUUAAGAAAGAACAUAAAUUAUCUCUAAUUUUUAUAUUGGUACAGGUUAAAAUGGUUAUUUUUGAUAUACUGGGUAAAUAAAACGUAUCAUUAAAAUAGAUUUCAUAUUUCUUUAACGUUUUUAGUGUUGGCUACUGGUGUUUUAAAAGUUAGAAAUGUUCCUCACAUUGUAUUUUUGUUGAAUAGUGUUGCCCUAGCCAUUGGUCUCUCUUAAGCAUCAGACUUAGCCCAAAACCUGAAAUACAAUGUGUUAAUGAAUAUACUGAAUAAGUAAAUAUGUGUGUAAAACAAAAACUUCUGAUAAAUUAGAAUACAUCUCACAAGAAUUAUACAGGAAUUUUGUUAAAAUUUUCUUGAGA
Molecule: long non-coding RNA, 730 nt
Filed under: Capra hircus (goat)
Lineage: Eukaryota; Metazoa; Chordata; Mammalia; Artiodactyla; Bovidae
Description: lncRNA (ENSCHIG00000006957.1)
Source: RNAcentral